GACGAACGCUGGCGGCGCGCCUAACACAUGCAAGUCGAACGAGCGAGAGAGAGCUUGCUUUCUCGAGCGAGUGGCGAACGGGUGAGUAACGCGUGAGGAACCUGCCUCAAAGAGGGGGACAACAGUUGGAAACGACUGCUAAUACCGCAUAAGCCCACGGUGCCGCAUGGCACAGAGGGAAAAGGAGCAAUCCGCUUUGAGAUGGCCUCGCGUCCGAUUAGCUAGUUGGUGAGGUAAUGGCCCACCAAGGCGACGAUCGGUAGCCGGACUGAGAGGUUGAACGGCCACAUUGGGACUGAGACACGGCCCAGACUCCUACGGGAGGCAGCAGUGGGGAAUAUUGCACAAUGGGGGAAACCCUGAUGCAGCGACGCCGCGUGGAGGAAAAAGGUCUUCGGAUUGUAAACUCCUGUUGUUGGGGAAGAUAAUGACGGUACCCAACAAGGAAGUGACGGCUAACUACGUG
Molecule: ribosomal RNA, 466 nt
Filed under: uncultured bacterium
Lineage: Bacteria
Description: partial 16S ribosomal RNA
Rfam family: Bacterial small subunit ribosomal RNA
Source: RNAcentral